AUUGAACGCUGGCGGCAUGCCUUACACAUGCAAGUCGAACGGCUGCGCGGGAGCAAUCCUGGCGGCGAGUGGCGAACGGGUGAGUAAUAUAUCGGAACGCGCCCAUUAGUGGGGGAUAGCCCGGCGAAAGCCGGAUUAAUACCGCAUACGACCUGAGGGUGAAAGCGGGGGAUCGCAAGACCUCGCGCUAUUGGAGCGGCCGAUAGCAGAUUAGCUAGUUGGUGGGGUAAAGGCCUACCAAGGCAACGAUCUGUAGUUGGUCUGAGAGGACGACCAGCCACACUGGGACUGAGACACGGCCCAGACUCCUACGGGAGGCAGCAGUGGGGAAUUUUGGACAAUGGGCGCAAGCCUGAUCCAGCAAUGCCGCGUGCAGGAAGAAGGCCUUCGGGUUGUAAACUGCUUUUGUCAGGGAAGAAAUCCUUUGGGCUAAUACCUCGGAGGGAUGACGGUACCUGAAGAAUAAGCACCGGCUAACUACGUGCCAGCCGCCGCCGUAA
This 500-nucleotide ribosomal RNA is filed under the name uncultured bacterium. RNAcentral's name for it is "partial 16S ribosomal RNA". It matches the Rfam family "Bacterial small subunit ribosomal RNA", at positions 29 to 523 of the family's 1533-position model. The record is from RNAcentral.